UGGCGGACGGGUGAGUAACGCGUGGAAAACCUGCCCUGUACAGGGGGAUAACAGUUAGAAAUGACUGCUAACACCGCAUAAGCGCACGGUAAGGCAUCUUAGUGUGUGAAAAUAUUAAUAGGUACAGGAUGGGCCCGCGUCUGAUUAGCCAGUUGGCAGGGUAACGGCCUACCAAAGCGACGAUCAGUAGCCGGCUUGAGAGAGUGAACGGCCACAUUGGGACUGAGACACGGCCCAAACUCCUACGGAAGGCAGCAG
This 258-nucleotide ribosomal RNA is filed under the name uncultured bacterium. RNAcentral's name for it is "partial 16S ribosomal RNA". It matches the Rfam family "Bacterial small subunit ribosomal RNA", at positions 96 to 354 of the family's 1533-position model. The record is from RNAcentral.